This 1385-nucleotide ribosomal RNA is filed under the name Paralepas cf. quadrata. Its description in RNAcentral is "16S ribosomal RNA". The stretch from base 889 to 1260 matches the Rfam family "Bacterial large subunit ribosomal RNA", at positions 2072 to 2648 of the family's 2925-position model. The record is from RNAcentral. Lineage: Eukaryota; Metazoa; Arthropoda; Thecostraca; Heteralepadidae.
CACUGAAAAGAUUCUCGUGUUUUGCGAGGUUUUCAAUUAUUUUUAUAAGCUAAAAAAUAAUUCAGGAAGAAAUUUCUAAAAUUAAGUAAUUUUUUAUGAAAUUUUAUUUAAGCUUAAGUUUAUUAGUACUGUGAAGGAAAAUUGAAUAAAAGUUUAAUAAAUAAAAAGUACUAAGAAUUAGGUACCUUUUGUAUUAGGGUUUAUUAAAAUAUAAAAUAAAAUUUUAUUUCUCGAAAAUAAAAGAGUUAAGUUCCAUAUCUGUUUUUGUUUCAAAAAAAUUGAAAAGUAGAACUUGGGUGUGAAAAAUAAUUCGAUUUUAUUAAUAUCUAGUAACUUUAUAAAUAAAUUUAGUUUAGUGAGUUUAGAAAAUAUUAAACUUUUUAGUGUUUUUAAAUACAACAAUAAUAUGAAGGGGAUGAGCUCUUUAUAUAUUAAAAAUUAAGAUAAAAUUUGGAUUAAUUGUAGGCUUAAAAGUGGCCAAAUUAAAGUGUUAUAACUAAUUAGUUUUAAGAAAAAGAUUUAAAAAAAUUUUAAUAAAUAUAAAGUUAAUUCCUUAAAUUUAGUAAGGGAAGAAAUAAUGAUAGAAUAAGUAGAUUUAAAUUUGUUUUGGAGAGUAUUUUAAUAAUUUAAAAAUUUGUUUUAAGAAAUCAUUUUAAUAUAAGAAUUAGGCAAAUAUGAUUUCCGAAUGUUUAACAAAAACAUUUCCUCUUAAUUUAAGAGGUAAGGCCUGCUCACUGAGAUUUUAAAGAGCCGCAGUAUACUGACUGUGCUAAGGUAGCAUAAUCAUUAGUUUUUUAAUUGGGAACUGGUAUGAAAGGCUAAACGAGAAAUCCGCUUUUUUUAUUAAAAAAAUUUAAUUUAAAUUUUUAGUGAAAAUGCUAAAAUUUAACAAAAAGACGAGAAGACCCUGUAGAGUUUUAUAAUUCCGGGUUAUAAAAAUGAAAAUUUAAAAAGUUUUUAUAAAUUUUUGAAUUUAUUUUGUUGGGGCGACAUUUAGAUAUAAAUAACUCUUUAUUAUUUGAAUCUUUUAUGAAAGUUGAAGAAUUGAUCCUUUAAAAAAGAUUAAAAGAAAAAAUUACCUUAGGGAUAACAGCGUAAUCUUUUUCGAGAGUUCUUAUCGACAAAAAGGUUUGCGACCUCGAUGUUGGACUAAAAUUAAGGCGAGGCGCAGAAGUUUCGUUUUUAGGUCUGUUCGACCUUUAAUUUUUUACAUGAUCUGAGUUCAAACCGGCGUGAGCCAGGUUGGUUUCUAUCUUUUGUUUUUAUAAUUUUAGCUUAGUACGAAAGGAUUGGUUAAAUAUAAUCUUUAUUUGAAUUUGAUUAUUAUUAAAUUAAGGAAAAUAUAAAUUUGGCAGAUAAAUGUAACAGACUUAGGAUCUGGGUAU